This 1013-nucleotide long non-coding RNA is filed under the name Elaeis guineensis (African oil palm). Its description in RNAcentral is "long non-coding RNA (EGUI_LNC031778)". The record is from RNAcentral. Lineage: Eukaryota; Viridiplantae; Streptophyta; Magnoliopsida; Arecales; Arecaceae.
ACAAUAAUGACACUCAUUCAAAAUGAUAAUUUUAGAAUUGAAAAUAAGCUUAAUAAUUUCUAAAGCUAAGACUAAAACUUAGCUUCCAUCUCCCACGUUCAGGAAUCUCUCACCAUCUUCAAACCUCCUAUUGAUCCGAAAUCCCCACAAUGAAUUGCAAAUAUUAAUAAGACUUUUAGUAUCCAAUACCCAGAUAGUAGUAUCACAAAUAGACAACUUAUAAGGUGUUUUCAUAUAAUUAUCUUGACUAGUAACUGCUAGCUGCUUUCUCUUAUUAGGCCUGUUUGGGUCAAGAGAGGCAAAAUACUGAGGAUAAUUUCUCUUUCAAUGAUCCAACUUCUUGCAGAAAAAGCACUCUAUCUAACUCUGAUCUGCUUUGGGCUUCUUGAUAUGAUUGGGCUUAGAUGCCCCAGCAUGCUACACCUUCUUCUUAUUCUUCUUUUUUUCUUUCUUAAAGGGAUGAUGUCCAGAAAAGGAACCACCUACCACAUUCAUCGACUCCUUGUGGAGCUGGUGAUCCUUCUCAAAGGUCUAUAGUAAUCCUAGCAAUUCAUGAUAGUUUACUGUAGAUUUAGUCAUUCUGUAAUGACUAAGAAAGGAUAGAUAGGACUUGGACAAAGAAUUUAAGAUCCCAUCUUUUCCUAGCUGCUCAUACAAGAAAAAUCUGAGUUUGCUCAGGCGCUCGAUCUGCUCAAUCAUUUCAGCACAUGAUCAGUGACCGACACCCCUUCCCUCAUUCGAGCAUCGAAGACAGCACAAGACAUUUUGUGCCUUUCAACAUCAUCAGGAAUGCCGAAGGACUCGUUCAACACUUGAAGUAUUUCCUCCGACUGAGCAUCCUCAAAUUUGCGACUGAACUCAUCAUUCAUAGCCACCCACAUGAUGCAAUGCACAGUGAUUCGAUCAUUGAGAUACUUUUGAUAAGUAUCUCUAACCGCACCACGAGCAUUUGGAGUGGACUCCUCAGGUGUCCGAUCUGUAAGUACUUACAAGAUCCACUCGUGCUCCAGAAC